Molecule: transfer RNA, 84 nt
Filed under: Blastomonas aquatica
Lineage: Bacteria; Pseudomonadati; Pseudomonadota; Alphaproteobacteria; Sphingomonadales; Blastomonadaceae
Also listed under: 4 other names
Description: tRNA-Leu
Rfam family: tRNA
About the family: Transfer RNA (tRNA) molecules are approximately 80 nucleotides in length. Their secondary structure includes four short double-helical elements and three loops (D, anti-codon, and T loops).
Source: RNAcentral
GCGGGCGUGGUGGAAUGGUAGACGCGCCGGACUCAAAAUCCGGUUCCGCAAGGAGUGUGGGUUCGAGUCCCACCGCCCGCACCA